AGAGUUUGAUCCUGGCUCAGAAUGAACGCUGGCGGCGUGCUUAACACAUGCAAGUCGCACGAGAACGUUCCAGCUUGCUGGAGCAAGUAAAGUGGCGCACGGGUGAGUAACGCGUGGGUAAUCUACCCUUGAAUUUGGGAUAACUCUUCGAAAGGGGAGCUAAUACCGGAUGACAUCACAUUUUUUUCGAGGAGUGUGAUCAAAGAUGGCCUCUCCAUGGAAGCUAUUGUUUGAGGAUGAGCCCGCGUACCAUUAGCUAGUUGGUAGGGUAAAGGCCUACCAAGGCGACGAUGGUUAGCUGGUCUGAGAGGAUGACCAGUCACACUGGAACUGACACACGGUCCAGACUCCUACGGGAGGCAGCAGUGAGGAAUUUUGCGCAAUGGGGGAAACCCUGACGCAGCAACGCCGCGUGAGUGAUGAAGGCCUUCGGGUCGUAAAGCUCUGUCAAGUGGGAAGAACCUGACAAAGGGUAAUAUUUUUUGUCACUGACGGUACCAUUGAAGGAAGCACCGGCUAACUCCGUGCCAGCAGCCGCGGUAAUACGGGGGGUGCAAGCGUUAUUCGGAUUUAUUGGGCGUAAAGGGCGCGUAGGCGGUCUUGUUAGUCAGAUGUGAAAGCCCGGGGCUCAACCCCGGAAGUGCAUUUGAUACUGUAAGACUUGAGUAUGGGAGAGGGAAGUGGAAUUCCUGGUGUAGAGGUGAAAUUCGUAGAUAUCAGGAGGAACAUCUGUGGCGAAGGCGACUUCCUGGACCAAUACUGACGCUGAGGCGCGAAGGCGUGGGUAGCAAACAGGAUUAGAUACCCUGGUAGUCCACGCAGUAAACGGUGUUCACUAGGUGUAGCGGGUAUUGACCCCUGCUGUGCCGCAGCUAACGCAUUAAGUGAACCGCCUGGGGAGUACGAUCGCAAGAUUAAAACUCAAAGGAAUUGACGG
RNAcentral lists this ribosomal RNA (937 nucleotides) under uncultured bacterium. RNAcentral's name for it is "bacterial SSU rRNA". It matches the Rfam family "Bacterial small subunit ribosomal RNA", at positions 8 to 916 of the family's 1533-position model. The record is from RNAcentral.